GGAAAAAUUAUUGAAGUCAGUUUACUAAAAACAACUGAAAAUUGCUGUUCGUGAUAUCACACGGCAUCUGUUGAAGUUGCUGCCGUUUGGUGGUUCUACGUUUAAUCAAACCGCUGCCUUUGAAACUGUGCAAGAGGAAAGAGAAACUUUGCUGCUUCACCUACGACAUCGAAAUGGAACAUUCCUCGAUGGUUGUGUGAUAAAGGUUUUGAGGCGCAUUUAAUAAACGUUGAACGACAAGGCAUCGCUGGUUAGUGUUUAACACCAUACAAACGGUAUCGACAUAUGACCGCAAUUGCAUGCAUAUGGCGUGCG
Bactrocera tryoni is the source of this 315-nucleotide long non-coding RNA. RefSeq lists it as uncharacterized. NCBI's taxonomy places the organism in Eukaryota, Metazoa, Arthropoda, Insecta, Diptera, Tephritidae. The record is from RefSeq and is a predicted model, not a curated record. The transcript is spliced from 3 exons.